GAUGAAGAACGUAGCGAAAUGCGAUAAGUAAUGUGAAUUGCAGAAUUCAGUGAAUCAUCGAGUCUUUGAACGCACAUUGCGCCCCCUGGUAUUCCGGGGGGCAUGCCUGUCCGAGCGUCAUUACAACCCUCAAGCUCAGCUUGGUGUUGGGCCCCGCCGCCCCGGCGGGCCCUAAAGUCAGUGGCGGUGCCGUCCGGCUCCGAGCGUAGUAAUUCUUCUCGCUCUGGAGGCCCGGUCGUGUGCUCGCCAGCAACCCCCAAUUUUUUUCAGGUUGACCUCGGAUCAGGUAGGGAUACCCGCUGAACUUAAGCAUAUCAAUAAGCGGAGGA
Molecule: unclassified non-coding RNA, 329 nt
Filed under: soil metagenome
Description: partial contains 5.8S ribosomal RNA, internal transcribed spacer 2, and large subunit ribosomal RNA
Rfam family: 5.8S ribosomal RNA (bases 1-120)
Source: RNAcentral